CCUGGAUCCAUGCAGGCAAAACCUGGAAGCAGCAGAUAUUCCAGGAUUGUUGAUGUUGAUGACACUGGAGGCCCAUUCUGCCACAGCCAAUGUGGAAAAGGCGCAGAACCCUGGACACUGCCAUUCUGAAAAAAAGCCAGACUGUGACAGGGUGCCAGCACAGGAGGAAGAUGCUUGUUAAUGAUAGGAUGCACUGGACCCUGGGACCCCAGUGCUAAGUAAAGCAAGAGGCCCUGGUGACCUGACUGAGAUCGUGUGUCUGCCACCUAGCAAAAAUGAGACCAGAGAAAAGGAGGUAAGUUGCUAUAUAGAAAGAGAAGUCAUACAUUUUACAUACUUGUGAUUA
This 346-nucleotide long non-coding RNA is filed under the name Chinchilla lanigera (long-tailed chinchilla). RNAcentral describes it as "lncRNA (ENSCLAG00000025495.1)". The record is from RNAcentral. Lineage: Eukaryota; Metazoa; Chordata; Mammalia; Rodentia; Chinchillidae.